AACGAACGCUGGCGGCGCGCCUAAUACAUGCAAGUCGAGCGAGAAGACGUAGCAAUACGUUUGUAAAGCGGCGAACGGGUGAGGAAUACAUGGGCAACCUACCCUCGAGUGGGGAAUAACUAGCCGAAAGGUUAGCUAAUACCGCGUACGCUCCUUGGACUUCGGUUCAGGGAGGAAAGCGAUACCGUGGGUAUCGCGCUCUUGGAUGGGCUCAUGUCCUAUCAGCUUGUUGGUGAGGUAACGGCUCACCAAGGCUUCGACGGGUAGCUGGUCUGAGAGGACGAUCAGCCACACUGGCACUGCGACACGGGCCAGACUCCUACGGGAGGCAGCAGUAAGGAAUAUUGCGCAAUGGGCGAAAGCCUGACGCAGCGACGCCGCGUGGGGGA
Molecule: ribosomal RNA, 389 nt
Filed under: uncultured bacterium
Lineage: Bacteria
Description: bacterial SSU rRNA
Rfam family: Bacterial small subunit ribosomal RNA
Source: RNAcentral